AGAGUUUGAUCCUGGCUCAGAUUGAACGCUGGCGGAAUGCUUUACACAUGCAAGUCGAACGGCAGCAUAGAGAGCUUGCUCUCUGAUGGCGAGUGGCGAACGGGUGAGUAAUAUAUCGGAACGUGCCUAGUAAUGGGGAACAACUAAUCGAAAGAUUAGCUAAUACCGCAUACGACCUACGGGUGAAAGCAGGGGAUCUUCGGACCUUGCGUUAUUAGAGCGGCCGAUAUCUGAUUAGGUAGUUGGUAGGGUAAAAGCCUACCAAGCCGACGAUCAGUAGCUGGUCUGAGAGGACGAUCAGCCACACUGGAACUGAGACACGGUCCAGACUCCUACGGGAGGCAGCAGUGGGGAAUUUUGGACAAUGGGGGCAACCCUGAUCCAGCCAUUCCGCGUGAGUGAAGAAGGCCUUCGGGUUGUAAAGCUCUUUCGCAAGAGAAGAAAUCUUGUCGUCUAAUAAACGACAAGGAUGACGGUACCUUGACAAGAAGCACCGGCUAACUAUGUGCCAGCAGCCGCGGUAAUACAUAGGGUGCAAGCGUUAAUCGGAAUUACUGGGCGUAAAGCGUUCGCAGGCUGUUUUACAAGUCAGAUGUGAAAUCCCCGGGCUCAACUUGGGAACUGCGUUUGAAACUGUAAGACUAGAGUGUGUCAGAGGGGGGUAGAAUUCCAUGUGUAGCAGUGAAAUGCGUAGAUAUGUGGAGGAAUACCAAUGGCGAAGGCAGCCCCCUGGGAUAACACUGACGCUCAUGAACGAAAGCGUGGGGAGCAAACAGGAUUAGAU
RNAcentral lists this ribosomal RNA (784 nucleotides) under uncultured bacterium. RNAcentral describes it as "bacterial SSU rRNA". It matches the Rfam family "Bacterial small subunit ribosomal RNA", at positions 8 to 783 of the family's 1533-position model. The record is from RNAcentral.